This 3119-nucleotide long non-coding RNA is filed under the name Homo sapiens (human). RNAcentral's name for it is "non-protein coding lnc-RPS14-2:2". The record is from RNAcentral. Lineage: Eukaryota; Metazoa; Chordata; Mammalia; Primates; Hominidae.
UGUGGAGUCUGGAGACGACGUGCAGGUAGGAGGCCCGGGCGCGACAAUCGGGGGGCAUCCUGCGGCGAGGGGACCCUGUGGGGCUUGGGACGAGAGACGGGGGUCUUUCCGUGGGAACCGAGCUAGGUGCCGGGCAAGAGACGCGCGGCUGGCCCACCUGGAUCCUGGCCAACUCGGGAUUGAGUUCGUUCCUGGUCUCAGAAGGCCCGUUUUGCUUUCAGGGAGGAGCUUGUGAAGUAAGGGUGAGUGCGGGUCCAGCCUUUUAAGGCCUCGGCCCCGCAAUACGGCCACGGCCACGGCCGCGUUUGAGCUGCACAGCGUAGUUGAGGGAACCCGGGACAGACGUGGGCUCCCGCCUCUACCUCGCCAAACUUUUUUCUUGGUGAUCGCAGGCCCACGCCUAAUCUCGUUUGUUUCCUCGUUUGCAAAAUAGGAAUAACAAUAGCACCGAUCCCAUGGGUUUGUAGUGAUCAUUCAAAGAAGGAAAGCAGGGAAAACUCUCGCACUAUGUUGGAUGCUUCUAAAUCUGGGCGAUUCUUUCCGUUGCUGAGUCGGGCACGUUGCAAGUUCUGGGCGCUCAGGGCCCAGCACCAAUGUUUGCUGUGCGCUUGCCCUGCGUUUAUAUACUCCUGAUGACCACUCUGCUCGUUACUUUAGGGGAUGUUAGGAACGGAGAAACUGCAAAUUGGCAUUUACUGAAUGGCCAUCAUGCCGAAACAUACUCAUGCUUACGUAUUUGAGAUAUGCUGGAGCCUUUCUAUGCUUCUCGAGGCAGAACUUUGGGCUUCUCUCCUGUGGCGCGUUCCUUACAAUAGUUAACGCACUGGGUCGUGCUCAUUGGUCUGAUUUGAAGAUAGGAACAUUUAACUUCGUACACCCAAGACUUACACUUGAAGUACUUACUGUGGUCACACACUUAACUAAAGUUUAUAUAGGGAAGGCAGAGGAGAGAUCUAGGAACACCUGAGACAGACUAGGGUAGUUAUUUGUGGUGUAGAGGCAUCUUGGCAGGAGGCAGAGAGUGCUGGGCUGGGAGUCAGGACACGUUGUUUCUAUGUUUGGUUUUGCCACUGUCUUUACUGUGACCAUAGGCUGAGACACUCUCUAUCUUCACCAUCUGCAGGAUAUCGAUUAGUGUUAGUGUCUUCUGAAAAUGUUAAAUUGUUCUGAACACCAGGAGGUUCAGAAGGCCUGGGGCUUUAGGCCGGAAGCAGUCUUAUCCUAGCCUUCCACUUUCUCAUUCAUUCUCACCCGCCUUCCUCCUGUCAGUUUCUCUCUCCCUUAGAUCUUGUGACAGUAUGAUUGCAAUUAUUAUGAAGGUCAUAAUAGGUUAGAGUUAUUUAGUCUCAGGACCCAUCAGAUUUCUGAGAUGGGUCUUUUCCAUUAGCCUGCCUUUUGGAUAUAUUUUAGUGCCUUUGAUAUUUGAUGUUGGUGACAAAGAUUUAGUUCUAAAUAGUUGUGGGAGUCAAAUCAGUUGCAUUUUUGAACAUUUUGAAGGGAUCAGGUGGAGCACAGGAAAACAGGAGAUGAGAGGCUUGAGGGCUGUGUUGGUAAGGGUCCCUUGAAUUCUAAGCUGAGGAGUUCAUGCAGGAAUCAAGCAGCUCCCUCGCCCCAUGAAGGGUGUUAGGAAUGGUACCAGUACAUGGGUAGCUGUUGGUCUUGGGUUUCUUCUUGCCUUUUGGGGUGCAGCCUUCAGGCAUCUGCUGCUAGAUCCCUAGGCUUCUAUCUUGUAGGUGCUGUGAGCUGAGCUGUUGGUAGUUUCUGGGGAAAGGAUACUUCUCAUGGUACUUUGCCAUGUGGCCACAGUUGAUACCCCCCCAAGUGCAAGGAGAAAGAAGUUUUAGUGAGGCAGAAAUGAGAGAAUACAGUAGAGUAUUGGAUGGAAGAAGACAGGGACAUGAAGCAGGACUAGGGUUUCAUUUAAUAGCCAGGGGAAAGGGAUUCUGGAAAUGUUUUGUCUGUUAACCUUGAGUUUCUUUUCCUUCCACUCAGAAAUGGCACCUCGAAAGGGGAAGGAAAAGAAGGAAGAACAGGUCAUCAGCCUCGGACCUCAGGUGGCUGAAGGAGAGAAUGUAUUUGGUGUCUGCCAUAUCUUUGCAUCCUUCAAUGACACUUUUGUCCAUGUCACUGAUCUUUCUGGCAAGUGAGUACCUGGGUGGAGAGGCAUCCAGCUGGCAAAAGGCUGAGGAAGGCAAUGGCUGGGACGGGCUAGCAGUUCAGGGGAUUCUCUCUAAAGAAAUGCUGUUUUGUCCAGGUAAGAAAAUGUGCUUGUCCAUUUAGCCCACAAAUAUUGUGAUUUCCCAGGGGUUACAAGAGAGGAGACACAUUCUUCGUCCUUACAGCGUGAUGGUCAUUGAAUCCUUGGUUUCUUGGGAAUUAUCUUCUUUCCCUAGUUCCCUUUGCAGGAGCAGCAGUGGACUGCAAGUGGGCUCUGGGUGCGGGUUCGACGGCCAUUUAGCAAGUUGUGACUUGUGUGAAAUCACUCAGAUUCUGAGUUUUGGUUUCCUCAUAUGUAAAAUUAGGACAGUAAUGUCUACCUUGUGGAGUAAUGGUAAGGAUUAAAUGCAAAAGUAGAUAUAUAAAAUGUUAAUACUGAGUAUAGCUAUAUUGGGCCAUUCAACCCCACUGGACUGAACUCCAUGAGGGCAGAGCCCAUGACCAUCAUCCUCCACCAUGACUGAGCUGUGUUGCUCUUCACUCAUUAGGAUAUCGUAAGCACUCCUUGUUGGACGAGGAAGAAAUGACCCUGUGCUUUUGUCCCCAGGGAAACCAUCUGCCGUGUGACUGGUGGGAUGAAGGUAAAGGCAGACCGAGAUGAAUCCUCACCAUAUGCUGCUAUGUUGGCUGCCCAGGAUGUGGCCCAGAGGUGCAAGGAGCUGGGUAUCACCGCCCUACACAUCAAACUCCGGGCCACAGGAGGAAAUAGGACCAAGACCCCUGGACCUGGGGCCCAGUCGGCCCUCAGAGCCCUUGCCCGCUCGGGUAUGAAGAUCGGGCGGAUUGAGGAUGUCACCCCCAUCCCCUCUGACAGCACUCGCAGGAAGGGGGGUCGCCGUGGUCGCCGUCUGUGAACAAGAUUCCUCAAAAUAUUUUCUGUUAAUAAAUUGCCUUCAUGUAAA